Molecule: ribosomal RNA, 482 nt
Filed under: uncultured bacterium
Lineage: Bacteria
Description: partial 16S ribosomal RNA
Rfam family: Bacterial small subunit ribosomal RNA
Source: RNAcentral
AUUGAACGCUGGCGGCAUGCCUUACACAUGCAAGUCGAACGGUAACAGGUCUUCGGAUGCUGACGAGUGGCGAACGGGUGAGUAAUACAUCGGAACGUGCCCGAUCGUGGGGGAUAACGAAGCGAAAGCUUUGCUAAUACCGCAUACGAUCUACGGAUGAAAGCAGGGGACCGCAAGGCCUUGCGCGACCGGAGCGGCCGAUGGCAGAUUAGGUAGUUGGUGGGAUAAAAGCUUACCAAGCCGACGAUCUGUAGCUGGUCUGAGAGGACGACCAGCCACACUGGGACUGAGACACGGCCCAGACUCCUACGGGAGGCAGCAGUGGGGAAUUUUGGACAAAGGGCGAAAGCCUGAUCCAGCCAUGCCGCGUGCAGGAUGAAGGCCUUCGGGUUGUAAACUGCUUUUGUACGGAACGAAAAGACUCUGGUUAAUACCUGGGGUCCAUGACGGUACCGUAAGAAUAAGCACCGGCUAACUACGUG